AGAGUUUGAUCCUGGCUCAGGAUGAACGCUAGCGGGAGGCCUAACACAUGCAAGCCGAGCGGUAUUGUUUCUUCGGAAAUGAGAGAGCGGCGUACGGGUGCGGAACACGUGUGCAACCUGCCUUUAUCUGGGGGAUAGCCUUUCGAAAGGAAGAUUAAUACUCCAUAAUAUAUUGAACGGCAUCGUUUAAUAUUGAAAGCUCCGGCGGAUAGAGAUGGGCACGCGCAAGAUUAGCUAGUUGGUGAGGUAACGGCUCACCAAGGCGAUGAUCUUUAGGGGGCCUGAGAGGGUGAUCCCCCACACUGGUACUGAGACACGGACCAGACUCCUACGGGAGGCAGCAGUGAGGAAUAUUGGUCAAUGGGUGCAAGCCUGAACCAGCCAUCCCGCGUGAAGGACGACUGCCCUAUGGGUUGUAAACUUCUUUUGUAUAGGGAUAAACCUACCCUCGUGAGGGUAGCUGAAGGUACUAUACGAAUAAGCACCGGCUAACUCCGUGCCAGCAGCCGCGGUAAUACGGAGGGUGCAAGCGUUAUCCGGAUUUAUUGGGUUUAAAGGGUCCGUAGGCGGACUUAUAAGUCAGUGGUGAAAGCCUGUCGCUUAACGAUAGAACUGCCAUUGAUACUGUAAGUCUUGAGUAUAUUUGAGGUAGCUGGAAUAAGUAGUGUAGCGGUGAAAUGCAUAGAUAUUACUUAGAACACCAAUUGCGAAGGCAGGUUACCAAGAUAUAACUGACGCUGAGGGACGAAAGCGU
Molecule: ribosomal RNA, 754 nt
Filed under: uncultured bacterium
Lineage: Bacteria
Description: bacterial SSU rRNA
Rfam family: Bacterial small subunit ribosomal RNA
Source: RNAcentral